ACAGGUCCAUGCCACUGUGCAUAACUAAUUUUUUGUAUUUUUUGUACAGAUAGGGGUCUCACUUUGUUCCCCUGGCUGGUCUCAAACUCCUGGACUCAAGCUAUCUUUUUGCUUAGGCCUCCCGAAAUGCUGGAAUUACAGGGAUAGAAACUUGAACUUUCUGGAAAUAAUCACCUUACUUGUGGGGAGGAAUAUGUGAAGAAUCUACUAGAAGGAUCAAGGAUUGGUGUACAUAAUCCAGGCUGGUGUGGAUUUGAUGGUGGUCAUAAUAUUUGCAAAGAAGACAGACAGAUCCCUGGAAAUCUCAUCAGAGAGGGUGGAGAAGAUGGGGGAGAGGUCUUGCAGGAUGUCAGGAUUUGAGCAUCUCAGGUUUCUGGCUACUUUCCUUUCCUUCAUGUUCUCACAAUUUAUUGGGAUUAUUUACAUUUUUGCAUAUAAAUAUCAAUAUCAUUUUGAAAAAAACUGUUAUAUAGAAGAUUUUUGUAGCAUUUAUGCUAGCUUAAUUGAAAUGUUUUUGCUCUCAUCUUUUAAUAUCUAAUGUAAUUGUUUAUUGCAAUUUAAAUAAUGACAAUGUUUAUGUUUCCUAUUCUCAUUUUCUAUUGAAACUUGGAAUUUCAUAAUCAUGCAGUCAUAGUCGUACACUGAUAAUAAUUGUUAUGCAUCUGUGUGUUCCAAUGCAGAAAAUUUUUAUUGCAUAUGUCUUCAUUUCAGUAAUGCAAUGGUAAGCAUUUGUUUCCAAUACAAUUGCAAGCUGUUCUUAAUGUAAACAUCAUAUUCCAUCAGCCUCACAAAUCCACAAGCAACCGCACUUCAGUAAGCAUCUGCAUUCUUAUCUCCAUUUCUCCAGGGAAUACAUUUUCACUUUGGUAAUUUUGCCUGUACUUUUAGGAUUAAAUGUAUGCCUCUCACACUGGAGUGAGGAGGGGCAUACUAAUUAAUCACUAAGUAGGCAGUUCAUCUCCUAACACUUAGAAAGAAAAGAAGAGAAAAGUUAAAAAAAAAAAGACUCCACUGUCUUUUAUCACUGAUUUCUUAUGAGAGUUUUCCAAGUAUUCUGGAUGAACCCAAGAGAAAUCAUAUUAUCUCUGUCCAUGGUAGCGUGUACUAGCCUGUAUGCAUUUUAGGUGGUAAAACAAAUGCAAGAAGAAGAAAGGUAUUUGUUUUUCCUACCAAAUGGCCAGUCUAUUUUGUGGUCCUACCAUUAUUUUAGUAAUGGUAGGACCAUUACUAAAUACUUAAUUAGCAUUAAGAUGUUAAUUUCAAGACUAGGGUAGCCAUCGAAGGAAUUGGUCAGGAUAGGCAGUGCCAGGUAAAUUAGAGUAAAAGCCACUUGCUUUCUUCUCCCCGCUCCAUUUAAACAUUUGAGCCUAAUGCUCUUUGCCAGCAAAUUGUGUUACUGAUACUACGAGUCUCUAACAGUAAUUAAUGAUAAGUAUAAUUUAAUACGUGCAUGUUCUAUGCAAAUAAGUGUGCUAAUUUCAUAUAUUUCUUCAUUUAAAACAGUUACGAUCCCAUGAGACACAUAUGACUUCCUCCAGUGUACAGAUAAGGCCAUUGAAGCUCAUAGAGUUCAGUAACUUGCCUGAGGCAAUGUGGCAACUAAAUGUGGAGCUGCCAUUUGAGCACAUGUCUUUGAGACUCCAAAGCCUUUACUUAAGUUAUAAGAUAGACCACUUUCCUAAGGCUUUAUAUCAUUCUGUUCUACCAAAAAUUAUUGUGAAUCCUUCAAGAAGAAAAGCUAUGCACUUUCCUUCAACCAUCAUUAACUAAACAAGUUAUUUUAUUAUGCUCUCUAGGAAAUGUAUAUGUAAGAAUAUGAACUAUUUCCCCAAAAGAACUUGAGAUCUAAGCAUAAAGAUUAUACAAAUGCAAGAGUAAUCAUAACACAACAAAAAGUGGUAAGUAUCAUGAAAGAAGCACAGGUGGGUUUUGUUUGAUAGAGAAUUAGGUUCCAGCUGAGGAUACCAGAGAAUCUUCAUGAACACAGGCCAGAGAUAGCCUAAUAUGGAAAUGUAAAAAUGGAGAUACGUAUUAACAGGCAAACAUUGAUACCCACACACAGCCACAUGUUUUAGGAGGUUCUCACACCUGCAUCAUUCACAGGGCUGGUGGAUGCUAUAGGCCCUUCAGCAAAUUAUAUUCUCUCUUUGACCCUAUCUCCUAUAAAUUGAAGGGAAUGGCUUGUAGGAUCAAUAGUCUAUAUCUCUAUGUUCAUAUUUUGAUUAAGUUUGGAGCCAAAGGGGAAAAAAAUCCAAGGGGGGGAAGAGAAAUAUAUCAUAUACUCCUGAGGAAUGGUUGCAGAGGAAAGUAAAGGUGGGCAUUGCAGAGAUAAGAGAAUAUGGAAGUUCUUCUACAAGCCCAGAGGCCUGGUCCUGGGAAGAACCUUUCUAUCUUCUAUGGCCACAAGAAGAUAAUGCUUGAUGUCCAUCUUGUCCCCACCCUUUGGAGAACUGUACUCUUGUCUCCUCUUUGACUUAUACGGCUGACAUGGUAAGACAGGAUGCUGGCUGGUCUUCAAAUUCAGGCUGCUUCUGUCGGCUGGCUGGUAGACUGCCGGGACUCAGAUGAGCUUCGCAGAUCAGAUUUCUAAAAGAAAUUCUUAUAGUGCUACAAUUCAGGAAACAUAGAUUAAAUACAAAGUAUAACACUGGUUUGGUAUGUAGGUGUCCAGUAAAUGUCUACCAAAAACCAGGAAGGACGUGCUUGAAACAAGCCAACGGUAGUUUUCCAAAUGACCUAGCUCUUCUUUGUCUGAUGGUAAGUCAGGGGGUCUUGCUUGAGAUUUGAGAAUUUCCCUCCCAUUAGCUACCCUUUUUAUAUUUUAUUGGCCAAAAGUAACAGUAUAAUUUUCAAAGAAAAGUAUGUCACAAAAAUAGACAUUGAAUCAAUGGACAAUUAAGCAUCCAUUAAUAAAAAUAUGCCGACUAUGUUCUUAAGAAAGUGUAAAUGAAGUAGCAUUAAGUGAAAAUGUCAAAUAAAAAUUAUUAUAUAUAUGCUAUAAUUAUUAUAAUGGUUAUAUGUGGAAAGAUUUAAAAUAAGCCAAGAAAAGAUGAAAAUAGUUGCUUAAAUAAAAAGAAUAUAUUUCUUUGAGAAUCUUAUUUAAUAAUUUUUUAUGAAAAAAAUUAUCAUAUUUCUUCUCAUCGUUGUUAAAUAUCCAAACCGUGCCGAGAACAUAAAAUUCUUUAUAUGAUCUCAUCUCCUUCCCCACUCCCAAGGGGUAACCACUUGUAACAAGCUGCUGGAAUACUUCCAGACUUCUAAUGAAUAUACAACCAUACUCACACGUAUUUCUUCAUAAAUGAGAC
Long non-coding RNA from Callithrix jacchus (white-tufted-ear marmoset), 3305 nucleotides. Lineage: Eukaryota; Metazoa; Chordata; Mammalia; Primates; Cebidae. The record is from Ensembl.